ACUCAAAGGAAUUGACGGGGACCCACACAAGCGGUGGAGCAUGGGGUUUAAUUCGAUAAUAAGCGAAGCACCUCACCCAGGCUUGACAUCUAUGGAAUCCCCCCGAAAAGGGGGAGUGCCGCAAGGAACCAUAAGACAGGCGCUGCACGGUCGUCGUCAGCUCGUGCCUUGAGGUGUGUUGUUCAGUCAAUGAACGAGCGCAACCCUCGUCCUGUGUUACAUUUUCACAGGAGACUGCCGGCUCCAAGCCGGAGGAAGGUGAGGAUGACGUCAGAUCAGCGUGGCCCUUAUGCCUGGGGCAACACCCGUGCUACAAUGGUUGGUACAGAGCGCAGCAAACCCGCAAGGGGGAGCAAAUCGCACAAAGCCAAUCUCAGUUCGGAUUGAAGUCUGCAACUCGACUUCAUGAAGUUGGAAUCGCUAGUAACCGUGAAUCAGCUACGUCACGGUGAAUAUGUUCCUGGGUCUUGCACACACCGCCCGU
RNAcentral lists this ribosomal RNA (484 nucleotides) under uncultured bacterium. RNAcentral's name for it is "partial 16S ribosomal RNA". It matches the Rfam family "Bacterial small subunit ribosomal RNA", at positions 899 to 1397 of the family's 1533-position model. The record is from RNAcentral.